GGGGCUGUAGCUCAGUAGCAAAGCAUCUGCUUUGAGUACAGAAGGUCCUAGGUUAAACCCCCAGCAUCUUUG
Podarcis lilfordi (Lilford's wall lizard) is the source of this 72-nucleotide non-coding RNA. The record is from the annotation of a GenBank genome assembly. NCBI's taxonomy places the organism in Eukaryota, Metazoa, Chordata, Lepidosauria, Squamata, Lacertidae.